Molecule: ribosomal RNA, 502 nt
Filed under: uncultured bacterium
Lineage: Bacteria
Description: partial 16S ribosomal RNA
Rfam family: Bacterial small subunit ribosomal RNA
Source: RNAcentral
GACGAACGCUGGCGGCGUGCCUAAUACAUGCAAGUCGAACGAACCGCGACUAGGUGCUUGCACUUGGUCAAGGUGAGUGGCGAACGGGUGAGUAACACGUGGGUAACCUACCUCAUAGUGGGGGAUAACAGUCGGAAACGACUGCUAAUACCGCAUAGGACAUAGGAUCACAUGAUCCAGUGAGGAAAGGUGGCGCAAGCUAUCGCUAAGAGAUGGACCCGCGGUGCAUUAGCUAGUUGGUAGGGUAAAGGCCUACCAAGGCGAUGAUGCAUAGCCGACCUGAGAGGGUGAUCGGCCACAUUGGGACUGAGACACGGCCCAAACUCCUACGGGAGGCAGCAGUAGGGAAUCUUCCGCAAUGGACGCAAGUCUGACGGAGCAACGCCGCGUGAGUGAAGAAGGUCUUCGGAUCGUAAAGCUCUGUUGUUAGAGAAGAACAGCGCAUAGAGUAACUGUUAUGCGUGUGACGGUAUCUAACCAGAAAGCCAUGGCUAACUACGUG